This 420-nucleotide ribosomal RNA is filed under the name uncultured bacterium. Its description in RNAcentral is "bacterial SSU rRNA". It matches the Rfam family "Bacterial small subunit ribosomal RNA", at positions 506 to 924 of the family's 1533-position model. The record is from RNAcentral.
UGCCAGCAGCCGCGGUAAUACGUAGGGUGCGAGCGUUAAUCGGAAUUACUGGGCGUAAAGGGUGCGCAGGCGGUCUUGUAAGUCAGAUGUGAAAGCCCCGGGCUUAACCUGGGAAUUGCGUUUGAAACUACAAAGCUAGAGUGCAGCAGAGGGGAGUGGAAUUCCAUGUGUAGCAGUGAAAUGCGUAGAGAUGUGGAAGAACACCGAUGGCGAAGGCAGCUCCCUGGGUUGACACUGACGCUCAUGCACGAAAGCGUGGGGAGCAAACAGGAUUAGAUACCCUGGUAGUCCACGCCCUAAACUAUGUCAACUAGUUGUCGGAUCUAAUUAAGGAUUUGGUAACGUAGCUAACGCGUGAAGUUGACCGCCUGGGGAGUACGAUCGCAAGAUUAAAACUCAAAGGAAUUGACGGGGGCCCGC